GAAAUGCGAUAAGUAAUGUGAAUUGCAGAAUUCAGUGAAUCAUCGAAUCUUUGAACGCACCUUGCGCUCCUUGGUAUUCCUUGGAGCAUGCCUGUUUGAGUAUCAUGAAAUCUUCAAAGUAAAUCUUUUGUUAACUCAAUUGGUUUCUACUUUGGUAUUGGAGGUCUUUGCAGCUUCACACCUGCUCCUCUUUGUUCAUUAGCUGGAUCUCAGUGUUAUGCUUGUUUCCACUCGGCGUGAUAAGUUAUCUAUCGCUGAGGACACUGUAAAAGGUGGCCAAGGUAAAUGCAGAUGAUCCGCUUCUAAUAGUCCAUUGACUUGGACAAUACUUUUAUGAUCUGAUCUCAAAUCAGGUAGGACUACCCGCUGAACUUAAGC
This 378-nucleotide unclassified non-coding RNA is filed under the name plant metagenome. RNAcentral's name for it is "partial contains 5.8S ribosomal RNA, internal transcribed spacer 2, and large subunit ribosomal RNA". The stretch from base 1 to 105 matches the Rfam family "5.8S ribosomal RNA", at positions 50 to 154 of the family's 154-position model. The record is from RNAcentral.